Molecule: transfer RNA, 54 nt
Filed under: Camallanus cotti
Lineage: Eukaryota; Metazoa; Nematoda; Chromadorea; Rhabditida; Camallanidae
Description: tRNA-Tyr
Source: RNAcentral
GAGAUGAUAGUUUAUUGUAGAAUAGAAAGUUGUAGCCUUUCUGGUUUUGUCUUG